This 253-nucleotide ribosomal RNA is filed under the name uncultured bacterium. Its description in RNAcentral is "partial 16S ribosomal RNA". It matches the Rfam family "Bacterial small subunit ribosomal RNA", at positions 524 to 776 of the family's 1533-position model. The record is from RNAcentral.
UACGUAGGGACCGAGCGUUGUCCGGAAUCAUUGGGCGUAAAGCGCGUGUAGGCGGCCUUGCAAGUCGGGGGUGAAAGCCCUCAGCUCAACUGAGGAAGUGCGCCCGAAACUGCAGAGCUUGAGUGCCGGAGAGGGUGGCGGAAUUCCCCAAGUAGAGGUGAAAUUCGUAGAUAUGGGGAGGAACACCGGUGGCGAAGGCGGCCACCUGGACGGUUACUGACGCUGAGACGCGAAAGCGUGGGGAGCAAACAGG